UGACAGGGUCUUGCUGUGUCUCCCAGGCUGGAGUGCAGUGGCGUGAUCUCUGCUCAUUGCAGUCCCCUCCUCUGGGGGUCAAGCGACCCCCACCACCUCAGCUUCCCGAGUAGCUGGAACCACAGGAUCCCAUCCAGGAUACUGCACUACAUUUAGAUUUCGUGUCUCCUAGGAUAUUCUUGGCUCUGACAAGUUCUCAGGCUUUCCUUGUUUUGGAUGACCUUGACAGUUUUGAGGAGUACAGAUGAGCUAUUUUGUGGAAUGUCCCUCAAUGUGGGCAUGUCUGAUGUUACCAUGAUGGGACUGGGGUUAUGGGUUUUGGGGAGGAAGACCACAGAUGUAAAGUGCCAUUCUCAUCACAUCAUGCCAAGGCUGCAUAUUGUCAAAUGACUUAUGAGUGAUGAUGUCGACCGCAAUCACCUGGCUGAGGUAACGUUUGCCAGCCUUCUCCACUGUAAAGUUAUUUUUCUCCCCUCCUGUCCAUAUUGUGGAAGUCAUUAUGUGCAGCCUGCCCUUAAAAGGCAGAGGUAUGUUCCAGCUCCAUGGGGGUUAUCUACAUAAAUUAUUUGGAGCUUUCUGCAUGGCAAAUGUGUCUCUUCUCCUUCACUGAUUAAUUUAUUCAAUCACUUAUUUGUAUCAGUAUAGGCUUAUGAAUUGUGGGUUAUUUUUGAAACACCAAAUUUACAUUAAAUAGAAAUAAAAGGAGAACAAAAUAAACAUAAAGCAGGGAAAGGGACAAAGUGUGUUCAUUUGCUUCUGGCUUCUUUCACUCAAUAUUUUUUGGGGGAGGUGGAGGUAAGGUGACAUUCAUCCAUGUUGUUGCAUAUAGCUUUAGAUUAUUCUUAUUGCUGUGUAGUAUGAAUGCAUAUUAUGUAAAUAUAUCACAGUGUCUUUCCAUAUGUAUAGUUGUAGGUCAUUCCCACUGCUGUAUGCUAUUCCUAGUGUGAAUAUAACACAUGUAUUUAUGUUUCCUUCUGUUGCUGUGCAUUGGAUAGUUCCCAGGUUGUGACAAUAUGGAUAGUGCCACUAUGGACAUUCAGGUAUAUGUCUUUUCAUGAACAUAUGGACACAUUUGUGUUGCUACCAAAGAAUGAAAUUGUUAGAUCAAAGGACACCUAUGAUCACCUCAAGUAGAUAAUGCAGUUUUCCAAAGGAGUUGUACCCACUGACACAGUCACCAGCAGGGUACAAGUCCCAUUUGUUCUGCAUCCUUGACAACAUUUGGAAUUGCCAAUCUUUUUCAUCUGUGGAUACACAGAAGUAUGUCAUUGACAUUUUAUUUUUUAUUUUACUGAUAACUAAUUAAGCCGAGAACCUUUUCAUGUUUAUUGGCCAUUUGAUAUUAUCUUUUGUGAAACUUUCAUAAUUUCCUAUUGUUUUUUGCUGUUGGAUUGUCUUUGUUCUUAUUAAUCUGUAGGGUGUGUGUGUGUGUGUGUGUGUUUAUAUACUGGAUAUAAAUUCUUUGUUGAAUAUAUGUAUUUUGAAUAUCUUCUUUCACCGUGUGGAUUGCCUUUUCAUAAUCUUAACAGUGUCUUUUGAUAAACACAUUUUUAAAUGUUAAUGUAAUCUAAUAUAGCACAUCUUAUUUUUUGGUUUCUACCCUUUGUUUUAGUUUAAGAAAUCUUUGCUUACUUGAGCUUCAAAAAGAUGUUCUAGAAAAGGGAUUGGAAAACUAUAGCCUGCAAUCCAAACCCAGCCUGUCACCUGUUUUUAUAAAUAAAGUUUUAUUGGAGUUCAGACAGGCUAAUCUGCUUAUAUAUUGUUUAUGACUUAUUUUGUGCUACCAUGGAAGAGAGUUGAAUAAUUGCAACAGAGAUUGUAGGAUAUGCAAAGCCUGAAAUAUUUAAUAUUGGGCACUUCAAGAAAAGUUUGCCAACCCCUAUUUUAGAAGAUUUUGUUUUUAACCUUUACACCUAGAUUUGCAAUUCAUCUAGAAUUGAUUUUCAUGUAUGUUGUGAUGAAAGAGUCAAGAUUCAUUUUUUUUUCCAUAAGGCUAUCCAAUUGACCUUGCAGUUCUUGCUGGGGGAAAAAAUUAUUUUCCCACUGCACCACAGUGUCAUCUUUGUCAUAAAUAAGAUGACCAGUAAGCAUGGGUCUGCUUCUGGAAUCUCUAUUCUGUUCCAUUGAUUUACUGCUAUCUAACCUCUCACCAAUACUACACUAUCUUAAAUGCUACAGUUCUAUAAUAGGUCUUAUAUUUUGUAAUAUAAAUCCAUCUGAAGACAUUAGCUGUCCUUUACAUUUCCAUACACACUUUAGAAAGUUUGAUAUUGAUUUUGCCAAAUAUUUUAAUUGUUAGGGAAGUGAAAAAAAGAUUUCCAUUUAAAAAAAUAUAUGUUUUCAGGUAUGAAAAGAAUGCUUCAAACUAAAUAUAAAUUUAACUUUUAAAAACAUUUAGACAAGUGAAUAGCAUCUAUAUAAUAUUACCUUUGUUUAUUUAUUUUUUAAUUGUGCUUUAAGUUCUGGGAUACAUGUGCAGAACGUGUAGGUUUCUUACACAG
RNAcentral lists this long non-coding RNA (2501 nucleotides) under Homo sapiens (human). Its description in RNAcentral is "HSALNT0108383". The record is from RNAcentral. Lineage: Eukaryota; Metazoa; Chordata; Mammalia; Primates; Hominidae.